UACGUAGGGUGCGAGCGUUGUCCGGAAUUAUUGGGCGUAAAGGGCUCGUAGGCGGUUUGUCGCGUCGGGAGUGAAAUCCACUGGCUUAACUGGUGGCUUGCUUUCGAUACGGGCAGACUGGAGGUAUGCAGGGGAGAACGGAAUUCCUGGUGUAGCGGUGAAAUGCGCAGAUAUCAGGAGGAACACCGGUGGCGAAGGCGGUUCUCUGGGCAUGUCCUGAAGCUGAGGAGCGAAAGUGUGGGGAGCGAACAGG
RNAcentral lists this ribosomal RNA (253 nucleotides) under uncultured bacterium. Its description in RNAcentral is "partial 16S ribosomal RNA". It matches the Rfam family "Bacterial small subunit ribosomal RNA", at positions 524 to 776 of the family's 1533-position model. The record is from RNAcentral.